This 271-nucleotide ribosomal RNA is filed under the name uncultured Eubacteriales bacterium. RNAcentral's name for it is "uncultured Clostridiales bacterium partial 16S ribosomal RNA". It matches the Rfam family "Bacterial small subunit ribosomal RNA", at positions 76 to 339 of the family's 1533-position model. The record is from RNAcentral. Lineage: Bacteria; Bacillati; Bacillota; Clostridia; Eubacteriales.
UUCGGAUGAAGGUUUUUGUGACUGAGUGGCGGACGGGUGAGUAACGCGUGAGCAACCUGCCUUUCAAAGCGGGAUAACGACUGGAAACGGUCGCUAAUACCGCAUGACGUAUACGAGUCGCAUGGCUUGUAUACCAAAAGGGAAAUCUGAUGAAAGAUGGGCUCGCGUCUGAUUAGAUAGUUGGUGAGGUAACGGCUCACCAAGUCUGCGAUCAGUAGCCGGACUGAGAGGUCGAACGGCCACAUUGGAACUGAGAUACGGUCCAAACUCC